UGAGGAAUAUUGGUCAAUGGGCGAGAGCCUGAACCAGCCAAAUCGCGUGAAGGAAGACUGCCUUAUGGGUUGUAAACUUCUUUUAUACAGGAAUAAAAAAGGGGACGUGUCCCUUAUUGCAUGUACUGUAUGAAUAAGCAUCGGCUAACUCCGUGCCAGCAGCCGCGGUAAUACGGAGGAUGCGAGCGUUAUCCGGAUUUAUUGGGUUUAAAGGGUGCGCAGGCGGGCUUUUAAGUCAGCGGUGAAAUCUCGGGGCUUAACUCCGAAACUGCCGUUGAAACUGGGAGUCUUGAGUAUGGAUGAAGUAGGCGGAAUUCGUUGUGUAGCGGUGACAUGCUUAGAUAUAACGAGGAACUCCGAUUGCGUAGGCAGCUUACUAAGCCAUAACUGACGCUCAAGCACGAAAGCGUGGGGAUCAAACAGAUUAGAUACCCCUGGUAGUCCACGCCGUAAACGAUGAUUACUAGUUGUAUGCGAUAUACCGUAUGUGACUAAGCGAAAGCGAUAAGUAAUCCACCUGGGGAGUACGCCGGCAACGGUGAAACUUAAAUGAAUUGACGGGGUCAUAGCUGUUUCCUG
Molecule: ribosomal RNA, 579 nt
Filed under: uncultured bacterium
Lineage: Bacteria
Description: partial 16S ribosomal RNA
Rfam family: Bacterial small subunit ribosomal RNA
Source: RNAcentral